RNAcentral lists this ribosomal RNA (251 nucleotides) under uncultured prokaryote. RNAcentral's name for it is "partial 16S rRNA". It matches the Rfam family "Bacterial small subunit ribosomal RNA", at positions 525 to 775 of the family's 1533-position model. The record is from RNAcentral.
ACGGAGGGUGCGAGCGUUAAUCGGAAUCACUGGGCGUAAAGCGCACGUAGGCGGUGUCGUAAGUCAGAUGUGAAAGCCCUCGGCUCAACCGGGGAACUGCAUUCGAUACUGCGCCGCUUGAGUGCAGCAGAGGGAGGCGGAAUUCCAGGUGUAGGAGUGAAAUCCGUAGAUAUCUGGAGGAACACCAGUGGCGAAGGCGGCUACCUGGCCUGCAACUGACGCUGAGGUGCGAAAGCGUGGGGAUCAAACAG